This 253-nucleotide ribosomal RNA is filed under the name uncultured bacterium. Its description in RNAcentral is "partial 16S ribosomal RNA". It matches the Rfam family "Bacterial small subunit ribosomal RNA", at positions 524 to 776 of the family's 1533-position model. The record is from RNAcentral.
UACGUAGGGUGCGAGCGUUAAUCGGAAUUACUGGGCGUAAAGUGUGUGCAGGCGGCCGCGCAAGUCGAGUGUGAAAGCCCCGGGCUUAACUUGGGAAUUGCGCUCGAAACUACGUGGCUGGAGUGUGGCAGAGGAAGGUGGAAUUCCACGUGUAGCGGUGAAAUGCGUAGAGAUGUGGAGGAACACCAAUGGCGAAGGCAGCCUUCUGGGCCAACACUGACGCUCAUGCACGAAAGCGUGGGGAGCAAACAGG